Molecule: long non-coding RNA, 311 nt
Organism: Manacus vitellinus (golden-collared manakin)
Lineage: Eukaryota; Metazoa; Chordata; Aves; Passeriformes; Pipridae
Exons: 3
Source: RefSeq, a predicted model, not a curated record
CAAUGUGUGACCCCCAGAGUGGAUCCUCCUGGACAAAAUGUUCAGCACACAGCUGGAUAAAUACAUCCUGUGGUAGAAUGUUUUGAAGAAUAUGGAAGAUCUGAGCCCAAGAUGAUGAAAGUAGUUUCCAGAAAGAAGUAUGGAACAGUACUGUACCUUAAGAAUUCACCAAUCUUUAUCAUAAGACUAAAAAAAAUGAUAUAACAUUUUCAUUAUAGCAGAAAUUUUAUUUUUGCAACUGUGAGGAGUAAAUGUCAUUGAUUUGUUAUUGGACUGAGUCCACAUUGAGGAAAAUAGUUCCUUUUGGCUUU